This 150-nucleotide small nuclear RNA is filed under the name Pogona vitticeps (central bearded dragon). Its description in RNAcentral is "U2 spliceosomal RNA (ENSPVIG00000002059.1)". It matches the Rfam family "U2 spliceosomal RNA". Rfam says of the family: U2 is a small nuclear RNA (snRNA) component of the spliceosome (involved in pre-mRNA splicing). Complementary binding between U2 snRNA (in an area lying towards the 5' end but 3' to hairpin I) and the branchpoint sequence (BPS) of the intron results the bulging out of an unpaired adenosine, on the BPS, which initiates a nucleophilic attack at the intronic 5' splice site, thus starting the first of two transesterification reactions that mediate splicing. The record is from RNAcentral. Lineage: Eukaryota; Metazoa; Chordata; Lepidosauria; Squamata; Agamidae.
CCCGCUUCUCAGCCUUUCGGCUAAGAUCAAGUGUAGUAUCUGUUCUAGUGAUUAACAGCAUAAUUCAUUUCGGAUAUUUCAAAUGGAGAAUUGAUUUACAUCCGUGUAGGACAGUUAAGGAUUUCUAUAAUAUCCAGCUAUCCACUCAAC